Molecule: long non-coding RNA, 2850 nt
Organism: Rhododendron vialii
Lineage: Eukaryota; Viridiplantae; Streptophyta; Magnoliopsida; Ericales; Ericaceae
Exons: 3
Source: RefSeq, a predicted model, not a curated record
AUCUCAUCCGCAUCCGGAGCAAUGUUUUUGUUGAUACAAUCAUUUCUAGCCUUCCAAAUUGGGAACAUCCCUACAUGUAUACUAGUUUGUAUUUUCGAUCAUUUCCCUUCCAAAUUAGUAAACAAAUUUGAAACCCAUUUGAUAACAGUAGCAAGAUGUUAGCGGGAGACACCAACUGAGAUUCCACCAGUUAAUUUUGAUAGACCACACCUUCCAUGUGAAUAUUGGCAUUGCAACAGAAGGUGCACUGGUGUUUCAAUCUCAGUUGCAGUGUUGCACAGAAAGCACAUCCCUCUUGACCACUUCCUUCUUGGGCAUUAAUGCCUCUUGUAGCAAGAACCGACCUGGAUGCAAUUCUAUUUUGAGUAGCUUGCGAAACAAAGAUUUCCUCCUUUCAUGGACAUAAAUUUUUACAACUUGAUCCCAGAAUCUUGUUUGAUGGAUGCAUGAAUUCCUCCCACUUUGCAUGAGAAUAUGUGAUUUGCACUCCAUGUCCAGUAUAAAGAUUCAUCCCUGCCAUUGUGAAUUGGUACCCCAUACAACAUCUUUAACGAUGUGCCUUAACAGAUAUCCUAAGCUAAGAUAAAAAGAUAUGAUAAGAUCCUAUGCCUGGGGUGUAAUUUACGCUUGAGGGUUUGGGGAAAUGCUUAUUGUUGAUAUAUUUGCUUCCUUUUUUAUGCUUUUUUUUUUUUUUGGAGUAUUACUUUUCUGCUUUUGGUGUUGAUCCUCCUUUUAGGAGUUGCUUUGUUUUACGUGUUUAUUUAUUGCCUUCAGGCUUCUUGUCCUCUAUUAUUGGCUCUGUGUUUUACCGCAGGUUCUUUUUUAGCGGUGCAUUGGUUUAAUGAUUUCUUUUACCACAUUAAUAACAUACAUCAUAUUUUGUCGGGUAAAUUAUUCACCUGAUUGCACAAAAUCAUUAGUCUGUUCUUGUAGCAGCACUACGACAUACACAAAACUAUGCAAAGAAAUAUCUUGGUGGGGCUUAGACUCAUUCCAGAUAUGAUAUCACUACAUCACUUUUUUAAUCUGAACUACUCAUUUUUUCUGCUUACCCUGUAAUGUUGGAUUCUGUGGUCCUAUCUUUUUCUGUUCUAGUAAAGAUGCUAAUUAUAUGUUCUUAAUAUUUUUCAGGAUGGGUAUUAACUGGUAAGUCAUGGAUGCAAGUGGUUCACUUCCCGAUUCUCAAAAGCAAACCAAGAAGUUUCGAAAGCAUAAAAAGUGUGAAAUUGACAGAGACAUCAUCAGUAACUUACCUGAGAAUGUUCUCACUCACAUACUCUCAUUCCUUCCUACAAAGUAUGUGGUCCGAACUAGUGUAUUAUCUACAAAAUGGAAAGACACGUAGAUUAAAGUUACAAAUCUUCAUUUAGAUGAUGAAUUGCUUUUGUCACGCAAAAAUAUGACUAGAAGGGCAUACUUCAUGAACUUUGUGGAUCGAGUACUUCUUCACCUCGAGAAUUCUAAGAUACAUAGCUUCUAUCUUUCCUGUGAUAAUUAUUCAGAUGCAUCUCAUGUCAGUGCUUGGAUUUCAGCUGUCAUAAAGCGUCAAGUUUAAAAGCUUGACAUUAAAUAUAGAAAAGAAGAGUUUGUGGUUCCCCGUUGUGUUUUUGGCAGUGAUUCCUUGAGAAAACUAAACUUGGUAGCAAAGUGUAUUAUCAAAGUUUCUGCAUCUUGUUUUUCAAGGUUGGAGAUCGUGGAUCUUUCUGGGGUUACAUUUCUGAAUACGUGCUUUCCAAACACUGAGGAAAUCACUUUGACUUUUCCCGUCCUCAAAGUCUUGACUUUAUGCUCUACCAAGUUGUUGAAUGUGAAGGUUGUCAAUCUAAAUGUUCCUGCUCUGCAUAGCUGUGACCUAGAUGCUUAUGAGUCUGGAUGGGUCCCUGAUGAUUCUCAUGAUUUGUUAAUCAAGAUUUGUGGACAAAUCUUAAGAAAUUCAAAUGCUCUAGUUCUCUCUCAGAAAAUUAUGUUCUAGAUUGUGCAUCAUCAGUUACUGAGGUUAAUAUCGGUAUAUCUAAAGUCGAUACAGAGUAUAAUUCUCAAGAGAAGACUACAGUUGGUUUGCGAGCAUGCGACCUUCUUAAAAUGUUCCUUGGUGUGGAAAAUCUCACAUUAUCUUGGCAUACCAUUGAGGUUCUUGCCCCUCUGGAAAAUUUACAAGCUCUUCUACCUUCAUAUAGUAAUCUGGUCCACUUGGAAUUUUCGGGGUUCAAAUUAGUUUUUGAUGCAACAGUUAUGGCCUUUCUUCACAGCUCUCCAGUUCUUGAAACUCUGAUCUUUGAGAUGGGCUGCUGCACUUUGCAGUUUAAAGGACGUGGUGCAAGAAAUGGUACCUCAAUGUUUUCUGUCUCACCUUAAGGUAAGGUAAAUUUGUGUGUUUCAAAGGGAAUACACGUGAACUUGAUCUAGCCAAGUUUUUAUUGGUUAAUGCAAUGGUCUUGGAGGUAAUGAUCAUUAAUGCUUCUUCGUCUCUGAAAUAUCAAGCUGAAACAAAAUUCGAGCCGGUCAAGAAACAGUUAUCUACAUUUCCAAAGGGUUCAAGUCACGCUACGAUACUGUUCUCUUGAAGGUCUUGCAUGCUUUCCAUUGGCUUAACCAAGUUGUAUGUCCAGAAAUCAGAACCUGUACUAUUCCUUUUGACUUGUGUUCUUACCUAUAGUUGCAAGUGUUUUGAUUGCAAAAUAAUUUUUUGCCUUCUUAAGUUUGUAUUGCUGCUUGCGGCUGAUAAGGCCUCCCAAUACGGGGAGCUCCUGUAUUAGACUAUUUUGUGCUCUUUUGGGGUAUUGUGGGCCUUUGGUUUUGUUGUUAAAUUUCAAUGGAUUCGUUUUGGAGAAUACAUCAUGGAUUGCUAGA